UACGGGGGGGGCAAGCGUUGUUCGGAAUUACUGGGCGUAAAGGGCUCGUAGGCGGCCAACUAAGUCAUACGUGAAAUCCCCCGGCUUAACCGGGGAACUGCGUCUGAUACUGGAUGGCUUGAGUUCGGGAGAGGGAUGCGGAAUUCCAGGUGUAGCGGUGAAAUGCGUAGAGAUGCGGCGGAACACCGAUGGCGAAGGCAGCCCCCUGGGCUGAGAUUGACGCUCAGGCACGAAAGCGUGGGGAGCAAACAGG
This 253-nucleotide ribosomal RNA is filed under the name uncultured bacterium. RNAcentral describes it as "partial 16S ribosomal RNA". It matches the Rfam family "Bacterial small subunit ribosomal RNA", at positions 524 to 776 of the family's 1533-position model. The record is from RNAcentral.